GCCGCUAUGGUGAAAUUGGUAGACACGCUGCUCUUAGGAAGCAGUGCUAUAAAAGCAUCUCGGUUCGAGUCCGAGUGGCGGCA
RNAcentral lists this transfer RNA (83 nucleotides) under Palicourea guianensis. RNAcentral describes it as "tRNA-Leu". It matches the Rfam family "tRNA". From Rfam's summary of the family: Transfer RNA (tRNA) molecules are approximately 80 nucleotides in length. Their secondary structure includes four short double-helical elements and three loops (D, anti-codon, and T loops). The record is from RNAcentral. Lineage: Eukaryota; Viridiplantae; Streptophyta; Magnoliopsida; Gentianales; Rubiaceae.